AUUAAACCAGGAGCUUGGAAACGAAUUUUGGAGUGAAACAAGUUGGGGGGUACUUAGCUUGUUCCAUGGUGGUACCUAGAGAGGCAAUUGCUAAGUCGUGGCACUCUCAUACCUUUACUAGAUGCGAACAAUUCCGGAGAAGAAGAAGAAGUGGAAUCGGAUGAGAAG
Long non-coding RNA from Lolium rigidum, 168 nucleotides. RefSeq lists it as uncharacterized. The transcript has 3 exons. The record is from RefSeq and is a predicted model, not a curated record. Lineage: Eukaryota; Viridiplantae; Streptophyta; Magnoliopsida; Poales; Poaceae.